CCUACGGGGGGCAGCAGUAGGGAAUCUUUCACAAUGGGCGAAAGCCUGAUGGAGCAACGCCGCGUGCAGCAUGAAGGCCUUCGGGUUGUAAACUGCUUUUAUAAGCGAGAAAUAUGAUGGUAACUUAUGAAUAAGGAUCGGCUAACUACGUGCCAGCAGCCGCGGUCAUACGUAGGAUCCGAGCAUUAUCCGGAGUGACUGGGUGUAAAGAGUUGCGUAGGUGGCAUAAUAAGUAGCUAGUGAAAUCUGGUGGCUCAACCAUUCAGACUAUUAGCUAAACUGUUAAGCUCGAGACCGUUAGGGGUAACUGGAAUUUCUAGUGUAGGAGUGAAAUCCGUAGAUAUUAGAAGGAACACCAAUAGCGUAGGCAGGUUGCUGGGACGGUUCUGACACUAAGGCACGAAAGCGUAGGGAGCAAACGGGAUUAGAUACCCGAGUAGUC
This 442-nucleotide ribosomal RNA is filed under the name uncultured bacterium. RNAcentral describes it as "partial 16S ribosomal RNA". It matches the Rfam family "Bacterial small subunit ribosomal RNA", at positions 338 to 795 of the family's 1533-position model. The record is from RNAcentral.